Zingiber officinale is the source of this 770-nucleotide long non-coding RNA. RefSeq lists it as uncharacterized. The record is from RefSeq and is a predicted model, not a curated record. The transcript is spliced from 3 exons. Lineage: Eukaryota; Viridiplantae; Streptophyta; Magnoliopsida; Zingiberales; Zingiberaceae.
CACCGGUUAAGUAGAGUUAGUAGUUAAGUAACGGUCAUCCUUAGAGAGUAGUAGUAGUAAGAAGGGUGGUCGUUACAACUUUUAUAGAUACUUUCACUCGCACAUUUCAGAAAAAAGAUAAGACUUGGAGCGGGGACAGAGCUAAAGCAAUUAAGGAAAAAUAUGUUGAGUUAGAGGUAGCACAGAGAUGUUCAGCUUCUGCUAGUUCUGAUAUUGAGGGGUCUGAGCCGUCUGUUGGUAGUGAUUUCAAUUUAUGGCUACAGGCGAGUGGGGGCCCAAAAAGGGGAGGAAAGAUAUUCGGAAUGGGUUCAUUGAGCAGAACCCAUAGAGUUGGUCGUAUAUCUUCUUCCUCCUCCUCACAUACCCAGCAGAUGCAUAACUUGACUGAAGAGGUUUCCCAGUUGAAGGGCAUUAUAAAGAACAGGGAUGAAGAAAUGAGAGAAAUGCGCCGACAACAAGAUUUUAUUAUGCGACAUCUUCAGUUAAGUUCUGUUCCAAGUCAUAUUCCUUCCGGUGACGGUGAUGAUGGUGAUGAUGGUGAUGAUGAUAAUGGCGGUGGUGGUGAUUCUUGAUAAAUUUAUGGAAAAGAAGCACGGAAGGUGACCGAAGCUCCUGAGACAUGAUGAUAUGUAUUUUAUUUUCUUUUGGAUGUCUUGUUACAUUUGUUGCUUGGAUUAUUAUAGAACUUUCAUGUUUGAUAUUAUGAGUUGUUGAACUUGUUUGGAUUUUGGUUAGUUGUAUAUAUGAAUAUGAUGUGUUUAGUUUUGGGA